UCUUAAAAAAAAAAAAAUCUCUGGACUGUACAAUAAUUGAAAUGAAAAAACUCACCAGAAAAAAAUGAAAAGAACUCACCAGAGUGGUUCAAUGGCAGAUUUGCACAGGCAGAAGAAAGAAUCAGUGAACUUGAAGAUAAGGCUGGCGACAUUAUUCUCCCUGAAGAGCACAAAGGAAAAAGAAUGAGGAAAAAUGAACAGUCCCCUCCAGGAGUUGGGCGACAUCAACAAAUUAGCAGCAUCCGGAUACCAAGAGACCCAGAAGAAGAGAGAAAGGAGCAGAGAGAUUAUUUGAAGUAAAGAUGGCUGAAAACUUCUCAGAUUGAUGAAAGACUACCUCUACACAUGGAGACGCUCAAUGGACUUCAAGGAAGAAAAACUCAAAGGGACCCACUAUCUCUUCAGGGUGAAGGGAAAUGAGGACAUUGCCAGAUAAAGGAAGUUAAGGGAUUUUGUUAUCAGUAGACCUGCCUACAAGAAAUCCUACAAGCAAACCCUUCAGGCUGAAUGAGAGAACACUAGACAGUAACUAAAAGCCAUAGGGAAAGUAAAGAGCUGAAGGAGAGGGAGUCGGAGACUUGACUACGUGACUUGAACAAUGGCUGGGAGAAUCCGGGUGGACGAUGGCUCGGGACAGAGGACUUAAACCACACUCUGUCAGACCCGGCACACAGAAGCGGAGGCCUUCACAAUGGCAGCCAGGCACACGAGCUUCUCAAGGGCACAUGGGACAUUCCCCAGGACAUGCCAUCUGUGAGGCCACGAAACAAGUCCUAAUAAAUUGUAAAGAAUGAAA
Molecule: long non-coding RNA, 796 nt
Organism: Lontra canadensis (Northern American river otter)
Lineage: Eukaryota; Metazoa; Chordata; Mammalia; Carnivora; Mustelidae
Exons: 2
Source: RefSeq, a predicted model, not a curated record